This 499-nucleotide ribosomal RNA is filed under the name uncultured bacterium. RNAcentral describes it as "partial 16S ribosomal RNA". It matches the Rfam family "Bacterial small subunit ribosomal RNA", at positions 28 to 523 of the family's 1533-position model. The record is from RNAcentral.
GACGAACGCUGGCGGCGUGCUUAACACAUGCAAGUCGAACGGAUUGCUUGGUGCUUGCACUGAGUGGUUAGUGGCGAACGGGUGAGUAACACGUGAGUAACCUGCCCCCUUCUUUGGGAUAAGCACCUGAAAGGGUGUCUAAUACUGAUUAUUCUGCUGGAAUCGCAUGGUUUUGGUUGGAAAGGUUUUUUCUGGUGGGGGAUGGGCUCGCGGCUUAUCAGCUUGUUGGUGGGGUAAUGGCUUACCAAGGCUUUGACGGGUAACCGGCCUGAGAGGAUGCCCGGUUACAUUGGGACUGAGAUACGGCCCAGACUCCUACGGGAGGCAGCAGUGGGGAAUAUUGCACAAUGGACGAAAGUCUGAUGCAGCGACGCCGCGUGAGGGAUGAAGGCCUUCGGGUCGUAAACCUUUUUCGCUUUUGACCAAGGCAGCAUUUUGGUGUUGUUGAGGGUAUGAGGUAAAGAAGCUCCGGCUAACUACGUGCCAGCAGCCGCCGUAA